RNAcentral lists this ribosomal RNA (400 nucleotides) under phytoplankton environmental sample. RNAcentral describes it as "partial small subunit ribosomal RNA". It matches the Rfam family "Eukaryotic small subunit ribosomal RNA", at positions 587 to 987 of the family's 1831-position model. The record is from RNAcentral.
AGCUCCAAUAGCGUAUACUAAUGUUGUUGCAGUUAAAAAGCUCGUAGUUGGAUUUCUGACAAGAGCGGCCGGUCCGAGCCUUCGGGUUUGUGUACUUUGUGUUGUCUCUAGUCAUCCUUAUGGAGAACGUGUGUGGCAUUAGUUUGUCGUGCUCGGGACUCAUAUCGUUUACUGUGAAAAAAUUAGAGUGUUCAAAGCAGGCAAUCGCUGUGAAUACAUUAGCAUGGAAUAAUAAGAUAGGACUUUGGUACUAUUUUGUUGGUUUGUAUACCAGAGUAAUGAUUAAGAGGAACGGUUGGGGUAUUCGUAUUCAAUUGUCAGAGGUGAAAUUCUUGGAUUUAUGGAAGACGAACUACUGCGAAAGCAUUUACCAUGGAUGUUUUCAUUAAUCAAGAACGAA